GCGUGAGUGAUGAAGGCCUUAGGGUUGUAAAGCUCUUUCGCCCGCGACGAUGAUGACGGUAGCGGGAGAAGAAGCCCCGGCUAACUUCGUGCCAGCAGCCGCGGUAAUACGAAGGGGGCGAGCGUUGUUCGGAUUUACUGGGCGUAAAGGGCGCGUAGGCGGCGCGAGAAGUCGAGUGUGAAAGCCCCGGGCUCAACCUGGGAAUUGCGCUCGAGACUCUUGUGCUUGAGUUCGGGAGAGGAGCGUGGAAUUCCCAGUGUAGAGGUGAAAUUCGU
RNAcentral lists this ribosomal RNA (275 nucleotides) under uncultured bacterium. RNAcentral describes it as "partial 16S ribosomal RNA". It matches the Rfam family "Bacterial small subunit ribosomal RNA", at positions 399 to 691 of the family's 1533-position model. The record is from RNAcentral.